This 480-nucleotide ribosomal RNA is filed under the name uncultured organism. RNAcentral's name for it is "partial 16S ribosomal RNA". It matches the Rfam family "Bacterial small subunit ribosomal RNA", at positions 330 to 801 of the family's 1533-position model. The record is from RNAcentral.
CGUACACUCCUGCGGGAGGCAGCAGUGGGGAAUAUUGCACAAUGGGCGCAAGCCUGAUGCAGCCAUGCCGCGUGUAUGAAGAAGGCCUUCGGGUUGUAAAGUACUUUCAGCGGGGAGGAAGGCGAUAAGGUUAAUAACCUUGUCGAUUGACGUUACCCGCAGAAGAAGCACCGGCUAACUCCGUGCCAGCAGCCGCGGUAAUACGGAGGGUGCAAGCGUUAAUCGGAAUUACUGGGCGUAAAGCGCACGCAGGCGGUCUGUCAAGUCGGAUGUGAAAUCCCCGGGCUCAACCUGGGAACUGCAUUCGAAACUGGCAGGCUAGAGUCUUGUAGAGGGGGGUAGAAUUCCAGGUGUAGCGGUGAAAUGCGUAGAGAUCUGGAGGAAUACCGGUGGCGAAGGCGGCCCCCUGGACAAAGACUGACGCUCAGGUGCGAAAGCGUGGGGAGCAAACAGGAUUAGAAACCCGUGUAGUCCCAUGAU